Molecule: ribosomal RNA, 253 nt
Filed under: uncultured bacterium
Lineage: Bacteria
Description: partial 16S ribosomal RNA
Rfam family: Bacterial small subunit ribosomal RNA
Source: RNAcentral
GACGAACCGAGCGAACGUUGUUCGGAAUCACUGGGCUUAAAGGGCGCGUAGGCGGGUUCGCAAGUCUGUGGUGAAAUCCUCCGGCUCAACCGGAGAACUGCCUCGGAUACUGCGGGUCUCGAGGGUGAUAGGGGUAUGCGGAACUAUCGGUGGAGCGGUGAAAUGCGUUGAUAUCGAUAGGAACUCCGGUGGCGAAGGCGGCAUACUGGAUCACUUCUGACGCUGAGGCGCGAAAGCCAGGGGAGCAAACAGG